GGGAAUGUGGCUCAUUGGUAGAGUGCUUGCCUAGCAUGUAUGAAGCCCUGGGUUCAAUUCCUCAGUACCA
This 70-nucleotide transfer RNA is filed under the name Dipodomys ordii (Ord's kangaroo rat). It matches the Rfam family "tRNA". From Rfam's summary of the family: Transfer RNA (tRNA) molecules are approximately 80 nucleotides in length. Their secondary structure includes four short double-helical elements and three loops (D, anti-codon, and T loops). The record is from Rfam by way of RNAcentral. Lineage: Eukaryota; Metazoa; Chordata; Mammalia; Rodentia; Heteromyidae.